This 460-nucleotide ribosomal RNA is filed under the name uncultured bacterium. Its description in RNAcentral is "partial 16S ribosomal RNA". It matches the Rfam family "Bacterial small subunit ribosomal RNA", at positions 338 to 795 of the family's 1533-position model. The record is from RNAcentral.
CCUACGGGAGGCAGCAGUGAGGAAUAUUGGUCAAUGGCCGAGAGGCUGAACCAGCCAAGUCGCGUGAGGGAAGACGGCCCUACGGGUUGUAAACCUCUUUUGUCGGGGAGCAAAGAGAGUCACGUGUGACUCAUUGAGAGUACCCGAAGAAAAAGCAUCGGCUAACUCCGUGCCAGCAGCCGCGGUAAUACGGAGGAUGCGAGCGUUAUCCGGAUUUAUUGGGUUUAAAGGGUGCGCAGGCGGAGGUGCAAGUCAGCGGUGAAAGUUUGUGGCUCAACCAUAAAAUUGCCGUUGAAACUGGUUGACUUGAGUAUAUUUGAGGUAGGCGGAAUGCGUGGUGUAGCGGUGAAAUGCAUAGGUAUCACGCAGAACUCCGAUUGCGAAGGCAGCUUACUAAACUAUAACUGACACUGAAGCACGAAAGCGUGGGGAUCAAACAGGAUUAGAUACCCCGGUAGUC